Molecule: ribosomal RNA, 527 nt
Filed under: uncultured bacterium
Lineage: Bacteria
Description: partial 16S ribosomal RNA
Rfam family: Bacterial small subunit ribosomal RNA
Source: RNAcentral
UGGGGAAUAUUGGACAAUGGGGGCAACCCUGAUCCAGCAAUGCCGCGUGUGUGAAGAAGGUCUUCGGAUUGUAAAGCACUUUCGACGGGGACAAUGAUGACGGUACCCGUAGAAGAAGCCCCGGCUAACUUCGUGCCAGCAGCCGCGGUAAUACGAAGGGGGCUAGCGUUGCUCGGAAUGACUGGGCGUAAAGGGCGUGUAGGCGGUUUACACAGUCAGAUGUGAAAUCCCCGGGCUUAACCUGGGAGCUGCAUUUGAUACGUGUAGACUAGAGUGUGAGAGAGGGUUGUGGAAUUCCCAGUGUAGAGGUGAAAUUCGUAGAUAUUGGGAAGAACACCGGUGGCGAAGGCGGCAACCUGGCUCAUGACUGACGCUGAGGCGCGAAAGCGUGGGGAGCAAACAGGAUUAGAUACCCUGGUAGUCCACGCUGUAAACGAUGUGUGCUAGAUGUUGGGUAACUUUGUUAUUCAGUGUCGCAGUUAACGCGUUAAGCACACCGCCUGGGGAGUACGGCCGCAAGGUUGAAA